RNAcentral lists this long non-coding RNA (2110 nucleotides) under Equus asinus (donkey). RNAcentral describes it as "lncRNA (ENSEASG00005023740.1)". Lineage: Eukaryota; Metazoa; Chordata; Mammalia; Perissodactyla; Equidae. The record is from RNAcentral.
CCCCCCCCCCACUCACCCAGAAGCCCCGGGAGUGGCCGGGCGCGGGUCGCGGGGGCGGCGGGCGGGCCGCGCGGCAAGUAGAAGCAGCAGCAGCAGCAGCAGGAGCGCGAGCGGCGGGCCCCAUGUCCGCUGGCGGGCGGGCAGGCGGCGCUCAGUCCAUGGCGGCGGCUCCUCCCUGCGCGCCUGGCGCCGCCGAAGCUUCAGCACCGGACAGCGCCGCCGGCCCCGCCCCCGACACGCCCCCUGCCACGCCCCCGAUGCGCCGGGCACGCCCCACGACGUGCGUUCGCCCGCCGGCCACGCCCCCCGACGUCCCCGCGCCUGGCCCCGCGCUGCCUCCGAGUCGGACGGGCGUCGCGCCUCGGUAGUCCCAGCCGGUCUUCCUCUUCGGGCCCCUCUGCCCCGGCUUUCUCGGGAGUCGCACUGCCCCGCUUGCAGACGUCCGGGGCCUGGGACGGAACGGCGCGAACCCUCUCUGCUCGGCUGGGCAGGUGCAGACCCGGUCGAAGCUCGCCUGAAGCGCGGGCGGUGUCGCGGCCCCUGGAAGGGGACGGAGGAACAGCCGUGCGGGGUCCUCAGCCUGGAGAGAAGGGGCCUGCGGGAGGCUAACCUGGAGCUGUGGAAGCCCCUCCUGCGCUCUGCGCUCGGUUGGCGGGUCAGGGCUCCAUAGCGGGGACGAGGCCCGGAGGCCAAUCUCCUCCAUCAUUGUCUUCGUCGUCGUCUCUUGUGGCCCUGCCAGGGACCCCAGUCCCCCGCCUGCUUCAGCGUUGGCAGUGGCCUGAGCCUCCUCUGACCCCUGUGGAUCCCACUCACCCAAGCCUGACUCCAGGUUAGCACCCUGCUGCUCUCACCUCAAAGCAAAUGGGACUCCUUGAGUAGAAUUCAUCAAUGAGACGAUUCAUUCUCACACUCUGAGAAAGGCUGCAAGACACUCAUUCCUCAGCUUGAUUACACCACACCACAAGCCACAAUGUGAGGGUCUACGUAACCAAAUGCCUGCUUAAAUGCGAGUCACUACAUUCACACUGGAGAGGGAGCCAUCUGUCCAAGAACCAAAAAGCCUAUCCGUGCCCACAAGUUGGAGACUGCUGGGCCUCUGCCACUGGCAGAAUCCAUUGGCAUUUGUAGUGGACAUUGUGAAAGACUUGGAGGAGCUUAGGGCUCCUCCUGUGCCUGUAUCCUGGAGGACUGUUUACUUUUGGGGUGGGUGUCUCCUGUUCCUUGGCAUUGUUAAACAGGUCUCACGGAAAGGGCCUGGGAUUGUUUGUUCUUUCAUUGUUUGACUGGCUGCUGUUGACAGUGGUUUCCUGAACCAGAUCCUGCUUCACUCCAAGGCCCCAGCUCCGGAAUUCUGACAGGGUCGAAGCAAAGUUGUAGCAAAGUUUGCCCCAGGAAAGGCAAAAUGGAAAACCAGAGAGGCACAAGAGGGAUUGCGAGAUUAUAGUAACAAAGGCACUGAGAAGAAGCACAAAAUUCACCAGGUGGCGUAGGAAAGAGGGUGGAAGCCGCUGCCCAUUCCUUCUGGUCUCAGCACUGAAUUUGACCAGAGCACACCAGUCCUGGGCUGUACUUGACAAGCCACAAAACCUUAGCUCUGCCGAAACGACAGGAAGUUAAAGGCAGAGAAAUGGAGAAUGUGGAAGGAAGGAAGAAAGAAUGGGGCUAGGUUCCAGAACUAAAUCUGAGGUAGCCCAGAUUUCUGACCUGGAGGACAGCUGUGCAUGGCUCCUUCUGGAAUGCUAGCUAGAUAGAUCAUCACACCAGGAAUUCCCAGUCUUUGACCCUGAUACACGAGCUGUGCAUGUGUGUGCACCCGUGCGUGCAUGUGUGCGUGUGUACAUGUGUGUGCAACUGCACAUAUGUGUGUGGGUGUGUACGUGUGCAUGCACUCAUGCACAUGUAUUUGGUGUGCUGGGUGCACGUGCCUACGUGUAUGUAUAAGAACAUGAUUAAAUGCUAUACAAGGCACACAUAUACAUGUAUCUGUCCACUAGGUGUACAGCAUUCACUCAAAACAUAUGCUUAAUCCCUGGGCCCUUUAGGCCAAGGGUGUCCCCUACAUUUAUUUAUGCUUUGUGCUUUUCUACUUAUAAAAUCAUUUAAUCCAUUA